UGCAACUUGCAUCUAUCUCUUGCUCU
RNAcentral lists this non-coding RNA (26 nucleotides) under Mus musculus (house mouse). The record is from RNAcentral. Lineage: Eukaryota; Metazoa; Chordata; Mammalia; Rodentia; Muridae.